UUGCCCAUCGGGGCCACGGAUACCUGACCAUU
Molecule: non-coding RNA, 32 nt
Filed under: Cricetulus griseus (Chinese hamster)
Lineage: Eukaryota; Metazoa; Chordata; Mammalia; Rodentia; Cricetidae
Description: XIST RNA A repeat
Rfam family: XIST RNA A repeat
Source: Rfam by way of RNAcentral